AGUGGCAGACGGGUGAGUAACAUGUGGGUAUCUACCCUUUGGCCUGGAAUAACACGAGGAAACUUGUGCUAAUACCGGAUAAGUCUUUACGGAGAAAGCUUUAUGCACCAUUGGAUGAGCCCGCACUUGAUUAGUUUGUUGGUAGGGUAAUGGCCUACCAAGACUAUGAUCAAUAGCUGAUUUGAGAGGAUGAUCAGCCACAUUGGGACUGAGACACGGCCCAAACUCCUACGGGAGGCAGCAGUGGGGAAUCUUGCACAAUGGAGGAAACUCUGAUGCAGCGAUGCCGCGUGAGUGAAGAAGGCCUUUGGGUUGUAAAGCUCUUUCGUCGGGGAAGAAAAUGACUGUACCCGAAUAAGAAGGUCCGGCUAACUUCGUGCCAGCAGCCGCGGUAAUACGAAGGGACCUAGCGUAGUUCGGAAUUACUGGGCUUAAAGAGUUCGUAGGUGGUUGAAAAAGUUGGUGGUGAAAUCCCAGAGCUUAACUCUGGAACUGCCAUCAAAACUUUUCAGCUAGAGUAUGAUAGAGGAAAGCAGAAUUUCUAGUGUAGAGGUGAAAUUCGUAGAUAUUAGAAAGAAUACCAAUUGCGAAUGCAGCUUUCUGGAUCAUUACUGACACUGAGGACGAAAGCAUGGGUAGCGAGAGGAUUAGAUACCCUCGUAGUUCAUGCGUA
RNAcentral lists this ribosomal RNA (673 nucleotides) under uncultured bacterium. RNAcentral's name for it is "bacterial SSU rRNA". It matches the Rfam family "Bacterial small subunit ribosomal RNA", at positions 94 to 803 of the family's 1533-position model. The record is from RNAcentral.